UGCUUUUUGUCUUACUAUUAAAAGUAGUACCUGCCCUAUGAUUAUUUAAAUGGCCGCAGUAUUUUGACUGUGCGAAGGUAGCAUAAUCAAUUGUCUUUUAAUUGGAGUCUGGAAUGAAUGGUUUAAUGUAAUAACUGCUGUUUUAGGCAAAAUUUUUGAAUUUUUAAGUUAGGUGAAGAUACUUAAAUAUCUGUAAAAGACGAGAAGACCCCGUCAAGUUUAAUAUUUAACUUAAUUUUACGUUAUUUUUAAUUAGUUAAUGUAUUUUGUUGGGGCAAUAAUAAAAUAAGGAAAACUUUUAUUUAUGAAUUAUAUUAAUUUUUAAAUUGAUUUUAUGAUCCAGUUUUCUGAUUAUAAGAAUAAAUUACUGCGGGGAUAACAGCGUAAUCUUUUUAUAGAGUUCUUAUCGAUGAAAAGGAUUGCGACCUCGAUGUUGGAUUAAGAUACCUUUUUGGCGCAGUCGUCUUAGGGGGUAGUCUG
This 480-nucleotide ribosomal RNA is filed under the name Disphaerobius loricatus. RNAcentral describes it as "partial large subunit ribosomal RNA". It matches the Rfam family "Bacterial large subunit ribosomal RNA", at positions 1888 to 2579 of the family's 2925-position model. Lineage: Eukaryota; Metazoa; Arthropoda; Chilopoda; Lithobiomorpha; Lithobiidae. The record is from RNAcentral.